GGAUGCGAUCACACUAGCACUAAAGCAGCGGGUCCCAUUAGAACUCCGAAGUUUUAGCGUGGUUGGGCGAGAGUAGUACUAGGAUGGAUGACCUCCUGGGAUGUCCUCGUGUUGCAUCCC
RNAcentral lists this ribosomal RNA (120 nucleotides) under Oryza sativa Japonica Group (Japanese rice). Lineage: Eukaryota; Viridiplantae; Streptophyta; Magnoliopsida; Poales; Poaceae. The record is from RNAcentral.